GAUAUUCUGUAAUAAUCGAUCAUCCUUUUAUUUCGUAUGUGUUAUUUAUAUUUUAAGAAUUGAAAUAUGCUUUUGAUAAAUUUGAAAAAGUAUCAAUAAAUUUUUGUUAUUUUGGUCUUUAAAUAUGGAUAUUUUCUCAACAUAUAGAGAAUAUAUAUUAUAUAUUUAAUAUACGUACAUAUAUUUUAUGUUGAACAUUUAAGUAUUCAUAUUCAAAGACUAAAACAGUAAGAAUGUGUCUCCAGAGUUAGUUACAUGUCCAGGCAAUGAUACUUUUAUUUUACUAACAGUCUAUUCCUCUACACUACUAGAAAGAUAGUCAAAUUGAAAAAAAUUUAUAUGAAAAGAAAAAACUACAAUAUCCUCGCCGUGUACUUCAUAGUUAGUUAUUUAUUCCAUAUCCUCAAUGUACAGCUGAAUAAAUUAUAUAAUUAAUAAAUUGCUCGAUAAAAUUAGGAAUAAAAGUGAAAUGCAGGUAGAGAAUAUUGAGAUAAUGAAAUGUUAAAUAAUUCUCGAACGCGGCAGCAAGCGGUCGUUCGUGUCCUCAAGGUAAAACAACAGCCAGCGUAACAUUAUAUCUCGAGAUUCUUCAUUGAUCCUUCAGUGGAAUUUGCAGGAUCAAUGUAGAAUAAAAAUUUCGGCUCGGUCUUCUCGGUUUGCGCGAUUACUAAAUCCGCGUCGUGCACACGCGACCCUCCUAAAUAUCCCGAGCGGUGGGCACAAGUCCGGCACACUCGGUGGCAAGGACACGGGCUCGAGUUAUUCGGCCGUAACCACCCGUGUGUAACCCUGAACCCCGCGUUCGCGCGGGUCCCGGAGACGCCGCUCCCUCGCCCGCGGUCGUUUUCUCCGUCUCCAGCGGCGUCUGCGAGACCGCAAAAAUGUCUAAUUGCAACGUGCGGGUGCGUGCGACUGUCUACGGCACAGCCGGUAUGCGAUGAAAUCGCGUCUCUCCCUCCUCCCUUCCUUCCUCUCUGCGCAGUUUAUUUUUCCUACGGCCCACCCGGGUUCUCCCUGCUCGCCCUCCGCCGGGAGAGGAGGCCGAGAGAGAGAUGGCCGUAACAAUUUAUAUGCGUGGCGCGUUUGUAUAUGCGGAUGUGCGGGCAAACCUGUCCGCUUAACGAUAAGCCACGCGUAUAUGUACGUCCCCUCCUCUCGCACUGCAUGCUCGCACGCCCCUUUAUAAGAUUCUUUUAUCCCCGACCCGAUAUUCAGUAAUGAUUCGCCGUAUGCAAGGUCGUCGCGCGUGCGAACAGGUUCUUCGCGCACCUCUCGCGAGUCCGAAGGGUAAAAUAUUGCCAGGGGGAUGCACGCCGGCGAUCACGGCCGUGGCAGCGGUCGCCGCAGCUGCCGCGGACGGCAGACAAAAGGAUUGUCUUCGUGCGUUUGCCCGUAAAUCCAAUUACGCGCGAAACACUGCGCGUAUUGAAAACGGCGUGUGCCAGCGACGGGGAGAUCGAAGGUGGUCCCCUCAUGUGCUCCAGUGCGCGAACAGUAGCGUGACUCACUUUCGUUGAGCGCACAUCCGUUAAGUCGAUGAAAUAAUCGCGCGGGAGGCGCUUUGAUAGAGUCCACGUAGCACGGUACAACGCAAGUCGCAUAAUAUCGAUUAAUCUUGCACGCAGCGCAUUUCCCGGCGACGAUUUGAGUUUUUGCUCCAGCGGAAUCCUCUCCAGAUUGCAUAUCCAUUAAUUUUAUACGACCACGUCUCGAACCGCGGUGGCGGUCGGCGCUUUCGCGACUCCCGUCUCCGAGUCUCGCCGCGGGCGAUUUGUCGUCGCGAUACAUAUACAUUAUGCAUAUGUGGUUAGUCACCGGCAAUGUUCCCCGAACCCGGAACUUGUUGUUAUAAUUAUGCAUCAGCCUAUUAUAUCCAGGCGAAGGCAGGCACGAGUGUUUCGCGUCUGGUCUUAUCGAUAAUAUAAAGUCCAAGAGGGCCGAUAAGAGAUCCGCGACUGUAUGACGAUUCGUCGCCACCUACGUGGCUACGUGGAUAAAUUACCUUCGUACAGGCGUCAUCACGCGAUUAACCGUGGAUAUGGUGACUAACGAUAACGUCUCCCGGAAUUAAGAGUGGCCGCACGGCGGCAGUCACACCUCCGUCCUUAAGCGUAUUCUCCCGUAAAGGGAAAGGUUGCCCGCGUUAUCUGCGCGCGUUAAACCCGCGCGAAUUUAUCAAAUUCCGCCGUAAUCGUCGAGCCACACGUCUCGGAGGUUCAAGAACGGAACCUCGCCUCGAAAGUGACGCGCAUAUUUCACUUCACAUUUCCAUCGUCGCAAACGACUUUGUCGCGAAACAUACGUGGCGCGAAACGCUGAAAAUCAUUGAGGUAUCAAACGCGAACCGGUCGUUGAUGCUUUGAGCGAUAGCUAUAGAGGACUUUUACUACGUAAAAGUAGCGCGCGAUACUAUGAAAAAUCAAGCAAUGCUUCACGACCGUGGCAGCCUUACGGCGGACGUGAAACGUUCGAACGUGCACGAGAUUUUAUUGCAAGGGAAAUUUACACCGAUCGUGUAACCACAAACUUGCGGCGUAUAAGGAAGUGUAAUAACAAACAAGGUUACGGUGCGUUAUAUCUUCUUAAGGUAGACAUAUGAAGUAACUCGCCGGCGAAAAAGAAUUUAUUGUGAGCGAUGGCUGCGGAAGCGUCAAGCUUUAUUGGGUAAAAUCACCCUUCAUCGAGGAAAAAGUGUAAAAGUCUCUGAGCACCUCUCGACGCGGUCUCAAGAGUGCGAAGAUAUUCGCGCACUGAAGCACUCGCGAAGUCACUAUCGAUAAUUGCCAAUGGCUUUCUCUGUCUCUCUCUUUCUCUCUCACACAUACUGAGAGAGAAAUCCGAGUUUUAACAAACUGAUGUUUUAUAUGCCAUGAAAUUUGAUCGAUACAUUACGAUACGCACAGAAAAAUAUCAUUGUACUGUAAAGUGAUUAUUCUUGAUUUCUUUUAAGUAAUGGUUAUUUUUUCAGCAAAGAAUAAUUUCUUCGUCACAAAUUUUAGAAAAGCUCAUUAUCAUGUAUUCAAGAAAAGAAUUUAUUCUUUUUACAAGAAUAUCGUAAAACUUUAUCAAAGAAGAAGUUGGCUCGACUCCAUGUAGUUGGCAAACCGAAUUUUUGUUUCAAUCUAAAUAUUCUUGAUUGAAAUGCUCUUGUUACUAGAAUUUAGAAUGGAUUCUGAAUAAAUAUCAUAUGCUUAUGAUGUAUUUAUGACAGAUUUGCAGAUAUAAACUUACGAAAUAUUUGGCAGCAAGUGCCAUUUGCUUGAACGCACUAGGUAUUUUUCUGUGUACUUGGCUCACUGACUUCACCGGAUUAUUUUCGUAGGAUAUCAUUCGAUUUCAUCGGGUCAUCAUCUUCCAUCAGAUAAUAUCUGGCUGGAUAUUUAGUCGAGUCAACCACUUCAGUUGAAACUACUCUUUCUUCAUUUGAUCGAGUGCAGCGUUCGACUAAAUUGCGUUUCACCGCAUAAGAACGCCUAACGUUUGUUCUGACACCGAAAUCGAUGGGAUACAUUGCUUGAACAGCAUAUGUCUGUUACUUAAAAUCCGGAUUGUGUUCUGUCAGUGUAAUUAGCUUCAUUCCCGAGCGUUGUUUUCUUAUCGCUUCGCUGAUGCAUUCCGAAUAAUACGCUCGUGCCAUUUCCCGAUCAAUGCACCGCGUGACUCUUAUUCAGCGGUGUAUUUUUUGAUCUCUUUGACAUUGCACGUAAUAUCGAAUUCGUAACACACACACAUACACACACACACACACACACACACACGCACGCACGCACGCACGCACAUAUACUCUCUCUCUCUUUCUCUCGCGUUUAUUUCGUGCAUAUUUCGUGACCGUGAAAACACCCACGUACGCAGCCGCGCACGGUCGACACGAGUAAGCGUACGAAUAUAUAAUAAGGUGUCACGUCGACUGUUACAUCGAUUUUUCAUUUGUAUCUACGCUUUCCAAAGUGGUUUCCCUACUUGGACGGUAGUUCUGUCAAGUGCAUUCGCGCCAGACAAAUUCCUAUCGAUCGUGUGCUAACUUCACGCUUGCGUUCUUCUAACCAUUUUCGUACUUGACACUGUUUCGUUUGACACACAACUUGGUUACUUGAACAAAUACGAGAAAUAGCGCCGACUGCUUUCUCCGCGCGGCUAACCAAGCAACCCCUCCUACUCGUCCUCCUCCUCCGUACGCGAACUCAUUGUUUGCAAUUCGGUACUGCAAUGUCUGGCACGUGAUUUCAUUCACGGGCAGAAUAACAUUUACAUAAUGUCGUUUCAUUGUGGCAUCGUAAUAAUCCGCGGCGAAAAGGAGAUCGAUAACGACGAGCUUAUGUAAACAUGCAUCGGUUUAUUAGCUCGUUACGUGGCGUAAAUAUUUCUUGCGCUCGUGUCUAAGAAUCGGUGAAAGCGACUGCGCGGCGCGCUUCGCUUUUCGCCGUCACGUAUUCCUCUUUCUCUCUUUCUCUCUCUCUUUUUCUCUUUCUCUUUUGCGCGCUAUUCACAUCUCGUACCGCGCGCAUACACCCGCCGCGUACUUUUGGAAUGCACGCCAGCAGAUUUUAAUGCAGAGCCGCGCGCGGCGCUACAUCAUCGCGUAUGACGAAGGCUAAACGUGAUUAUACGCAGAUGAUGCAGAAGAGAUACAAAGCCGCGGGAUGAUGCGCACACGACGGUCGGUGUCGUUUUGCUCGCGUCGCUUUCCCGCGAAUCCGCCUUUGCUUUGCCUUUGCUGCACUCCAUAGGAGGGUCCAUCAAGGGCACAACCGAGCAUUAAGAUCAACGGACGUUGCACCUUGCCGCGACUGAUCGGCCGCGUAUGCCGUGCCGCUCGUCCCGAAGCGGAGAGAUCGGAUGAAAUUGUCGUGGAAAAUUGCAGACAGGAUCGACGCGAUCGCUCGGGCAACCUUUGUUGCAAUUUCAUUUAGUCGCGCGAUAGAAUGGAGCCGCGAAACAGCGGACGAUUUAGCAACCGCGGCCUCAAUGGUGCUCCUUCGCUAGCACACAGAUGUGUUGCUCGCAGGUAACGAUGCCGCAAGGAAAGUUAAUCCAGCGGGGAUUAGUUGCUACUUCAUUUAUGAGCUAGAUUUCGCGCGGGUGUUCCGCUUCAAUAUCCCAUUUCAUAGCAUUGCGAUGUCUCUCUCUUUCUCUUUCUCUCCGUGAUAUAUUCAAAUAAUUUAGCUCUGAAUGAAGAAGAGAUAAGGCAAGAGAGAACUGAGCGCGGGUAUUGGUGCGAAUAUUUAAACUGUGGGAGGAUAAUAAUGUUAGACAAUUUUAACGCAUUUGUUGAAUAUUUUCCGGACUUUUUCAACGCACGAACCUUUCACGUCAAACCGAUCCUGAAUCCCAAUUAUUAAUAUUAAUUAACUCCCCCAUUACCUAAUCAUAAUUAUAUUUGCAUUGCGAAUGUUUUGAUUUGUUUGUAAUGUUGCAAAAAAAGUCACAACAAAUCAUAAAGCGCGUUUAUCAACAUCGUGAAACAUUCUUAUUCUUCCACAGUUUAAAUAUUUGCACCAAAAUCUGCUUAACCAAGAUCUUAAUUCGCCUUAUCCUUCCCUCGAUUGAGUUGAAUACUUUGAGAGCCAUGUUUAUAUAUAAUUGAGCUCUAGUUCUGUUCGGUUGGCACUUCGACGACUCUCGUUCAGGCGAGACUACCACGGUUCCGUCGUUGUCGUCGAUGUCGUCAAGCAUUGCGCAACGACACUUUCUAAUUAUAACUUAGAUAAUCGAUCAGGAUUUAAUUCCGUCCCUGCCCCUUCCCCCCUCCCUCCCCCCUUGACGCGACCGCAAUGAAAAUGUCAGUUGCUCUCUGACACAAUAACCUCCCGACCGUGAACAUUUCGUGUACGUAUGUACUUUCACGGAAACCAGCGGCCGAUAUAUUAGCGUCGUGGAGAGCUGCGAAACGCCGCGUCAUUGAAAUCACCGGUCCGGGAACUACUCGCGGGAAGGCGUUGCGUCGCGUCGCGGUGACAUUAGACGGCGGCACACCGCACGCACCGGCGAGCGAAAUGUCGCGUGUACGGCUCGAGCAGGUAGAAACGUGUCCGUCCGUACGUACGUCCGGCUGGUGUGUCCAAGGUGCGCGCUCCCGGUUUAAUUUCCGUGGCCGGCGGCCGAGGAGGCGAGGCAAUUUAUCGGCGCUCGGCAAAAAAAAAAAGCGCACCAAGCGGGGGACGUUAUAUCGCGUGUAUACAUCGACUCGGUCGGGUGGACGUGCGCGCGUGGCGUGAUUAAUAGCGAUGACGAAUGAUAAUCGUUACCUUUAUCUGCGCCCGCGAUUAUUUAUAAUAUCGCGAGAGAGACAGAGAGCAUACACUGGCGGCGCGACCGCGCGUAAAAAUCGGCAAAACCACCACCACCACCAUCAUUCUUCAAUAUCAUCAUCGUCAUAUCGCCAUCAUCAAUAUCAUCAUCUUUCCAUCUCCGGAUUGUUUCUCUCGACUUGGCGGGACGAAACUGCACCCACUAAGGAAAAGUAUUGAUGCAUGCUUGGACAUGUACCCAACUUUUUUAUCGUUUUGGUCUUUACAUUUCAACUUUCAACACAGAAUAUAGUAUAUAAAAGAAUACUAUAGUCUUUUUUAUAUAAAUAUUUUUUUCAAUUUGAUUAUAUGUUUUUAAUAGUGCAGCAGUAGAUUACGCCAAUAAAGUCUAUAUCUUGCCAAGGAACACAGUAGAUUUGAUUGGAAACAUUUUUUAAUAGUUAGCAAUUUUCUUAAUAACAUUUCUAUGUGCUGUUGCAAAAUUUCACAUUCUAUGAUAGAUAUGAAUAGCACAUACGAAGUGAAGGGAUAAUCAUCUACUACAGAAUGUUGAUUUAUUCUUCGAUUACAAAAUUCUAGGUAGUUUUUACUAUAAAAUUUUAUUUAAAAUCCAUGUUGAAAGUUGAAAUAUUCGUAUUUGAACACCAAAAUAACUGAAAUCACCGAGAUUAGAUGCGUGUCUGAAAAUUGAUACGUUUGCUUUACCACCUCGCCUCGCUUGACCUAACGAAUCCCCGUACUAUAUCGCUUCGUAAACGAUAUCCGAUGUCCGAAUCAAUAUCCGGGAGGAGGAGGAGGGAGCGGGGGGAAUAAUCCGUCGUGCAUUACGUCGUUCAAGUUGCAUUCGUUUUCCAGCGCGGUUCGACACGGCCCUCAGCUCCCGAAAAGUGCAUUCGAUCUUGAAACACGAGAGCCCGACAGUUGUCGAUUGCGUAACCGGCACAUAAAUAACUAUGUAUAAUAAGGCGCGCGCGAUUUCAUAGGCGUUCCUUUAAGCGGGCCCAAUCACGCCCGCGCGCGCACGUUUUUCUUCCACUUGUUUAUAACAUUUUACAACGAGUCGUUCAUCAUCGACAACGCGCUCAUGCCGUUGCCGAAUUCUCCGUGUCGCGAAUGAACAGAAGAAUAAAAGGAAUCUCGGGACGUGAACACGAAGGAGGGGCAGGAGGGGGCCCCGACUCAAUUAUCGGCGGUGGAUUGAGAGCGUGCCGCUAAUCGAAAGGAUUUUAAAAUAUCAAUUAUCCGGUGAACAAUUGAUCGCUGACGUAAUAUAACGGCGCUGUACCGAUGACGUGAGCGAACGAUAAGAUCUUAAAACAUCCGCGCGCAAAAAAGCAGCAGGUGCGCGAGAGCAUUAACUCCGCGGCGGGAGGGAGGGGAUGAGGGGGGUAUAUUAAUUAUAACCCGCGUUAAAAGCUUCUGCCGUUAUAACGCGCGUCAUGUGUGCGGUAUAAAGUACGAUUGAAAAUAAAUACAUCCUGCUCCUGUUCCACGAAUUUCGCGCGCGUGAUGAGGUCACACUCACACGAAAAGGUCGAUGUUUAAACAUUUAUAAUUAGUUCAAGCCGCGUCGAGUGAAUAUGUCGUGGCGAUGAUUAUUGAUGUGCUCUCACCGUUUCAAUAAAAAUAUUAAUUAUCAUUCUCAUUAUGAGACACAAAGUACGCGCGCGACGACGAAUUUUCUUCUCGCUCUUUUUCUCUUCGAUACUUUUACACACAGAGAAAUACACACUGCAUUCAAAUGGAUAUUAUUUGUUUUAAGUAUUUUGUAAGUUUAUGUAUCAGGAGCUAUCAUAAGCUCGUCACAAUUAUCAAAUUUGUUGCAAAUACAAUCUGAGUCCUAGUAGUAGGUUUAGCAUUUUAAUCAAGAAUAUUAAAUUAAAACAAAAAAUUGGCUUGCUUGCUGCGUAGAGUCCAACUUUUCCUUUGAUAAAGUUUUAGGAUGUUCUCGUAAAAAGUGCAUGAUUAUGAACUUUACUAAAAUCUAUGAUAAGUAUAUUUUAAAACCAUUAUAUCAAGAAAUUAUUCUUCGUUGAAGAUAACCAUUGCUGAAAGGAAAGAGAGUAAACUGAGUAAAUCGCUUUCCUUAACAGUAAAAUGAUACUUUUCUCUGUGUUGACAUCUUUAUUUUAUUUCUCUAUGACGAUUCACGCGAGCCUCAAUCAAAAAGGCGAAAUUAAGAGACGCGGCAAAUGUGCGGAUCUUUUUCUUCAUUCGUCCAAGUCAAUCGGCCAGGAAUAAUAAAAACUGGAACAGAGGCCGACUUCUCUCUCUCUCUCUUUCUCUCUCUCUCUCUCUGUCUCUCUCUCCCUCUCUCUUUUUCCCUCUAUUUCUCUUUCUUUCUUAGAUGUUAUUUAACGCGUUUUUUCCUUUUUCUCUUUUAAACUAAAUCAAGUACGCUCUCGAUUCCGAUCGCGAUCGCGAAGGCCCAUUGACAAUCGGCGAUGGUAAAGUUUCAGGUAAGCUGAGACGCGGUCUCGUUUUAUCGACUCGUUUUGCAUACUGCCCGCAUCGACAUUACUUUUUCCUUCUUUCCGGCGCGAAAGUGUAAUACCCCCUUGUAAAAUGACGCUCAUACACGAGAGGGUAAGCGCCCGAACGCGGUCGUACUCGGUGCAAGUCAUUUGCUCGCUCGCUCGCGCACGUACGUUUGUACGUUCGAUGCAAAUCCGGUAUUAAAGCCGGGAAAGGCGGGCGGGGCGCGCGAUACGAGAAGGCACGCUCGCGGAUCGGACCAGUUCAAACGAGUUUGAGGCCGAAGGCGAACCGCUCGACCCACGAAAAGCACGGACGAAAAGUGAAAGGGAUGUCAGUGGGGGGAGAGUGAGUGAGAAGAGAGAGGAUGCAGGAGAGACGGGCUUUCAGGGCACCCAUAGAAGCUCCCUGACCUAGCGUCACCGAUGAACAAGCGACGAAACUCGAAACGAUUGCCUGACGAUUGCGUACGCGGCGUGUACGAGCGACGAAUUUCCUGGGGAUACAUAAUAAUGGUGGCCGCGCGAAAUCGAUAAAUUGAAGGGUUAUCACCGAUACCUACGUCGCGGCCGCGCGCGGGCCUAUAACGUCGACCUUGAGGAGCGCGAGGAUCGCGAUCCCCCUCAUGGAAUCGGCGGCGACGGGUCGCUUCGUUCCGCUUUCGAGGUAAGAGCGACCUUCGCGAUGGCUACGAUCGUCUCCCGCGCGUGUAUCAUCGUCGGCCGCGACGAUUUCUACGAUGUUGCAACAAAGAGCGGACCGUGACCAUGAAAGGAGGCUCUAGUGUGGCCGGGCCCUUUGCGAAGGCCUUUACGUCGUAGUGUGCCGACGAAACGGCGACCUUCGCCGAUGAACUCGAACCUGGCCGUCGCGCAGCUGGGUUUCGCGCAAUCGUAACAACAAAGUGUCGACCGAGGCCUUGAGGCGGAUUGAGUCGACGAACGACGUGCCUAUAACCGCUUCUUCUUUCUUUUCUCCCUCUUCUUCUGGAGGACUCGGUCGAAAAUCGCAAUUUCAUUUACACCUGACUAAGUCGGGCGCGUCCGCGCUUAUUCUGCCGUGGACCUCGCUGGGAUCCCAGUGAGCCGAUGACGAAACACACAAUCGAGCGAACUUUCCGGACGAACGAUCGGUGAACGCGCGACGGUCACUAAUCCGGCCCGACAGGCCUGACACCUUUGACCUCGCGGUCGAAAGGAAGGCAGCCGCUGUCAUCGUCGGCGUGUGCCGCGCCGUGAAUAUUUUCAUUACGAUCGAGCGAAUGGAACUCGGGCGAUUUUUCUCUCUCAUUCCAACAUCCACUUCUCAAGGAUGCGCGGCGUGUAAGUUGCACGUGGCGUUUACGAAAUUCGGCUUUUAUGUAUAUAUCCGUGCGCGCAGGGACGCGGUGCACAGCGUUGUUUACGGCUAUUUGCAUACUCGCUCUCUCGCGCCUCGAAAUUCGGAUCCUGGGGAUCAGAGAGAGGGGGAGAGCAGCAGCCCGCGCCACAGUCGCGUCGUUGCUUCUCGUCGUUCUUCAUCCGUAACCUCCGCGACGUUUACAUCCGCGUCGCGGCCAAGUGGUGCAACCGCGUUAUUACAUGUAAUAGACGACGUCUCGCGAUCAUCCCGCCCGAGUGUAACGACGAUUACGAGUUCUCCAGCGGCGUUCUGUAACUACGUCCGUCGCCUGGUGAUUUCGGUGCUGGGAGACUGCGGUAGUCGCGAUUAAUUGAGCCUACUUGGGACAAAACCUCAUCCGGGUGACUAUGCGCAUCCACCGCGAGGACGUUGGUCGUUCUGACCCUAAAGACUAUGCCCCAUAUAAUUGCGCAAUUUAUGAAUAUUUGCCAGAACACGAUUAAUCCUGCGCAUAGAACGUUGAAUCUGUGAAAAGCCCAAGGAAUAUUCAGCAACUUUCGUAACUGGUGAAAAUCUGCAAAUUUCAAAAUAACGCAAACCUAUUUGCAGAUUAUUGCAUUACUAUUUUAUAGCUCGAGACUUUUCUAUGUCUCUUGGAAAAAAUGUCUUGUUCAAAGAUAUUGAUUUUCAAUAAAAUUGUAGUAGUUUAAAACUGCCAUGACAGACUCAGACUUUACUCUUUUAAGAUGAAUGAGUAAAAGUAAUAUUUUAUUAACAAUUGACGAUUCACUGAUUUUUCCAGUGAAAAUAUUUUCCCACUUUACUGUUUUAUCGUAUGUCUCAUUGAUUUUUACCACUAGAAACAAGAUCAGUUAGCUCUAACCAAGUGAGUUUAGACAAUUAAGGUCAGUUGUCAAAAUCAAAUAUUUUGACUACUUCAGCUGAAAUGCGGUUGACUGUCCGUGAAUCAACUAAUCAAUUUUUUUCUGUAUAUAUUUGUAACUAAUUAUUCAGUUAUAAAUAUAACAUUACCAUCAAUAAAAUCUCACAGGAUCAGUUAAUAGCAGUGACUAUGUUAUCAUUAUUCAUGCAGGUUGUAGACGCAUACAAUGCUAGCGUUUCAGUGAAGAAUAUACUGAUUAUACUUUAGUAUAUAUGUCCUAAAAUAUGAUUGUACGCGGAAGAUGAAUUCCUCGCGAGAAUGGGUGAGUUUCCACUUUCACCUGUCUCCUUUGACCGAUGCAUCCAUAGGUGAUCGUUAAUAGGCGAGACGUUUGUACAGUUUCGCUGAUACUUUGCGAUACGCGCCCGCUUGUCAUAGAGCAAAGUCAUUAGGAUGAAGACCUUGCAUCUUUGGCACAAUUUGAAAUCAUCAGCAUGCCGCGCUUUAUUGCAGAAUUGCGCCAGCGCGCUUCGCGAUCACACGGUGUGAUUCUUACGCAAAUAAUGCCAUAACGCCAUGACAAAUAUCUGUCGGCCCGCGACAGGUGAUGCCUCGCGAAUGCGCUUCUUGGCCGUGUAUGUAUGCGCGCGCUGGCUAACGAGCCGGACUUAAUGGAUCACCGUUUCUCAGGUGAAACGCGCCGCUUCCAUGCGACUAUCCGAUUAUUUUCAUACUCUCCGGGAUCUGGCGCAACGUUAUUCCUAAUACGGACGUAGGCGCGCGUCUGCCUGUCCUCGUGACGUCGCGUUUUUCCAGCCGGCUAACAGUGGAAAUCUAUUAGUCGCGCGUUGAAUCGCUCGCUGGGAAUUGCGCGUCGCCGACGUAACGCUCUUUGUAACAAAAAUGAUUUAUUAAUAAGGCAUUAAUCAUACGCGGCCGCGACGCCCCGUGUCUCAUUGCGCGUCACGUCUCUUUUCAAAAGGCGUGUCUUUUUCGCGCGUCGACGAGGCCUCUCGCGGAGCCUCGGCAGUUUCGUGAAUUGAACUUGAUCUCUUGUGAAACAACGAGGAGUCCGAUUCGUCGAUUUGUGGCGCAAGCGUAUCGCUCGCCGUAACGCGGAGACAGUAUGGACAUUAAUCGAUUAAAAUUCCUUUCGACUCAAAUAAUCGACAAAUUAAUCAUAUAAUUACGAUUAAUCAAUCAUAUAAAAUCACAAUUAUAAUUAUAAUUUAAUAUAUAAAAUCACAAUUUCAUCGAUUGAUGAAGGUAAUUAUCAGUGAAAUUCUGAUGUUGUGAUCGAUUUGACACCGAUUGAUAGUUAUUUUGAUCAUUGACUUGCUGAUUAUUUUAAUCGAGGGAAAUUCUCAUCGAUUAAUGCGUCCGACAUAUCCAGAUGUGUGACACCGCGGAAGGAAUUGACGAGAGAACUAUGUCCGCGUUAAUGAUAGAAAAGCGAGAGUUCCGGUCUGCAUAAUUAAUGGUUCUCCGAAUACAGAAUGAAGGUAAUCUAACGCGUGCAGUAAUGGGGAGAGUCGAUCGCAGGACCGCAUUCCGACGUCGAUUCGCGGCGGGAACCAUAUGCACGCUCUUUCCAAUAGAAUCGUGAUAGAAUGGUGAUAGAAUCCAAUAUUCCCAACGUCGCUCUCUCGAUAUGCGUAAAUUAGCGCGCUGUUGCGUUGUCCACAAUUUUCACGCGAGAAGACCAUUCCUACUUGAACGAGAGACGAAUUACCAUCAAUUAUCGUAAUUACACACAAUCACGCAUAUAUUACACUUGUAGACACAUUGCGUUUUGCCGUAAUAUUACGCUAACCGCCAAGGUCGCGAUUGCGGUUUCGAUGGAGGAUGAUUAGGCGCGCGUUAGACCGGUGUGCGCGCCGCGACGUACGGUAACACGGAAAUGACUCUCGCUGAGGAAGAGAACCGGCGAUGAAAGAAAAGAAGGAAAAGAAAAAAAACGGAUCCGCAAAGAGCACCUGACGUAAGCCUCUUGACGAGGUCGGCAAAAAGAGAACCGAGGGAAUCGCGGCCGCGUGUUACGGUGAUCAAUGCUCGAGUGGUCGACUUCUCUUCCUCGUCGAUCAUUUUUUCUGCCUCCUACGACUUCAGGCUGUAUAAAUAGCGCGGCUGUACUCGCUCGACUCGGAAGAGCAAAAUAAAGAGAGAGAGCGAGAGAGAGAGGGAGGGAGGGAAAGAGAGAGAGAGAGAGAGAGAUAAAGAGAUCACGCGGAAAUCACGCGACCUCGGAGGUCGGUGUUCAUUAAUACGUUGCCCGACAGAUGGCCUAUACUUUGUGUAGGUCUAAUGAAUGGGCAUGAAGACGUUCCGUUAAUAAGCCGACGGUCGAUUACUCUGAUUACAAAGCGCGAAUCGUGUGAAAAGCCGAAAGUCUCUGAACCCACGCGCGCCCACGAACGAGAGAGAGAUUCCGCGCAUUCUCCGGUCAACCUGCUGCUCCUAAUCGCGGAGAUUGCGGAAUUGUGCGAUGAUUAAAGCGCGAUUAUCGAGAGUCGCCUUGAAUCUUCCGCACAGUCGUAAUCGUUGUGAGCCUACGAGUAUCUCCUUGUAGCGACUCGUGAUAAAAAAAAUUGCUUUACAUAAGUGGAAACGAAUUUUAAUUAGGCCUUAGAGCGUGAUUCUACUCGUCUCAUAAUACACACACGUUCGAAUAAAUCAAGCUGCGCGAUGUAGGAGGCUCGAUCACAUCUCAUGGAAGACGCUUCUUCUUCGUGGGUGGGGAGUGCACUCGGGAGACUCGCCCACAGGCGUACUGCAUCAUCGGAUGCAUACGCGCAGCGCGACAGGUAGACCAGGUCCACCCGGCCAGCGCACCUUUUAAGCUCGUCGUCUCGCGCGUUCCCUCCUCUCCGACAAUUAAUUCGGCUUUGCCGCCGUCCCGGAUCUCGGCGUCUACGGGCAUUCCCCGGGCCGCAAGCGAGCACGCGCGCGCAAACAUCCUCUCGUUCGGCCUGCGGAAUGCGAAUCUUUUCAACAGUGGUGAACGCGCGCAAGGGCAAGGUUUAUUUCGCCGUGCCGGGGAUCCGUCCGUGGAACAAAAGGGGCCACGAUGAGCCGCGGAUAUUCAUGCCCGUUCUCGUCGUGUAACCCGCGGGAUCUCGUUCCGAGACAAAGGCGAGCCGGAGGAGAGCCUCGCCCGGUCCGCCUCGAAAAUCGCUCUCGUUCGACAGGUUCGAGGACGUAUGGAAAACGCUCCCUUCGUCAUCGAUUUAACGAGACAAAUAACACGAGCGCUCGCAUGCACGCACACGGAGAGAGAACCGCAGGAGCUAAGGUAUAGCUGCGCCGGCUACACGGAGAAAAUAUUACAGUUCUGUUUCGCAUAAAUUCUUUUCAGUUUUAUGUUUUUAGUACUUAAGUAAUAUAAUUAUAAUAAAUUUCGCUGGAAUAACGUAUUUCAUCCCUGGAAUAACAUAUUUAAGUUCUUAAAAUAAAAUUAGCUCAUAUAAAACGAAGGGAUGGAAUGAAUUACUACAUAAAUUUCGCUGGAAUAUUUCAUAUUUCAUCCCUAGAAUAACAUAUUUCAUUUCUUAAAAUAAAAUUAACACAUAUGAAAUGAAGAAAUGGAGUGAAUUACUGCAGAAUAUCGAUCUAUUUCUCGGCUGCAAAAUUCUAUAUAGCUAUUUUUAACCAUAAAAUACUUUUUGUGUAAGAUAUGUCAUUGAAGAAAGGACAGCUAAUGUCGUGGUUAUCGACAUUAAAUUUAUUACUCUGUGAAUUUCUUAGUGAAACUUGACUCGAAAAGUAGAGUGACCGUUGAUUCACUCGAAUUCGAACGACUUUUUACUCAUAUAGAGUAAAUUCUUCACAAUGCUCAAGAUUCACACGCAUAAUGAUAUGAAGAAAUAGCUACCACCUUCUUUUAAUGUCAGUCAAUAAAUUUAUAUCUGAUAGCGCGAAUGUGUUUUAUCGCCUCUUAGUAAUGACAGCAAAACGAUUAACCUUUUACGAUUAACGUCAUAGCUAAGUUCAAAUCGGCCUGAUUUGAGGUUUAUCUGAUAAAUUACCAUGUCAUUUUUUGGCGUGCACAUUCGCGUAAGCAUGCACGUACGCUCGUUCUCUCCGUCAGAGCGUAUCGCGUCGCAAAUAACAUGCGCAAUACUCGAGAAUUUCAAUGCAUCGUGCCUUCUCGGAUUUUAUGUGCGCAACAGAAUAUUCUGGAAUCUACUUCAAGUCUAAAAACAGAUUAGACUUGAAUAUCAUCUUAGUUGUUCGCUUAUUUGUCGUUGUCUUGUGCGGUCAAUUGUUUACACAUUGUUAACCACAUUCAAGAAAGUGAUCUUGCAGUCGUAGCGCGAAUAAUGUAGAUACAAAAAAUUAGCUAAGAUAAAUAACUUUGACUAAACACUGCGAUAUCGCAGAUGUUUUAACUUAAUCAAUACAAAUGACAGAGACGGAAUUUUUAUUUACUUGUAAAAUUCGGCACAAAAGUCUCUCUCUUUGGUGCCCAUCUAAAUUAAGGCCAGAUUAAUAAUUGAUAACGGGACCUAACUUUGUUUGCAGAUAUUGCUAGAAUGAUGCUGCUGUAAAUUCUACGUAUCAUAGGCAAUUUUUUAUUUAGAAUAGUGAUAUAUGAAAGUCUACCUGGAGUAGUAAAACAUUUUUUUUAGUAGUUUCUGACUAUUUUUCAUAUAAGUUUAUAUUUAGCGCAUUAUUGGUCGACCGUUUUCAGUAUUAUUCGACUCUUGCUAUUUGUUCUCUAAAUCGCCAAAACGACGGAGAUCACUCGAGAAUUGGUCAACAACAUUUGGCCAUCAAGAACGCGUAUUUUCUCAUGAUCGUUCAACAGUGUGUUAAAGUAGUUGACGGUUAAGGACGCGACUCCAUUGUAAUUCAACCCGACGAAUUCCGGUCUGAUUCUCCCGUUGUUAACGAUUUGUACGGGCGUCAUUAUUCGUUACGACAAUACUGUCCCUCUGACAGUAGCAACCGAAGAUACGAUCCCGCAAUAAUGGCGGGCCUUGGUCGGUUCCUCGAUCUAGAUCGAGGAUCGCGCUCCAGACAGGGUUCCCGGGGCACUUGACGAGGGCAUUAAGCACAAUGGGAGCGCUCUUCCCCCACGGGGAUCGUUAUCUCGCUCGACCGGCUCUGGGCAGCUUCGAUACGGGGGAUCAAAUGCGCGGGACGUUUCUCAUAAUAAGCAGGUCGCAUUCGCGUAACGAUAAUGCCCGUCGUCAUUUGCUUCCAGGAAAAAAGAUGCGAAUCGAGAGAGAAAGAGAGAGAUCCUUUCGAUCCCGGUGCGGCGGCCUUCGGAGCGUCUCCUUUCGGAGACGCGACGUAACGCGAAACCGGAGCUAUUCAAAGCACGAGAGCGCGCUCAAUGAUGCGACCGACUGCUCGAGUCGCGCUAAUUAAGGCGAUUCUAUCAUCUCACGUACGCACGUGGGGGUGUCUCGAUGACGGCGAUGUUGCGUGCCGUUUAAGAGCGCCGGACGCGCUUCUCCCGUGUUUCGCAUCGCCUUGCGAAAAUUAUAAAUUUAAAUGCACCCGGGCGAUCCGUUGAAGAGACGCGUGGGUGUCACGGCGGGUUAAGCGCGCCGUGGAAUUGCUAGUUGUUGUUACCGUCGGGAAACAGCAUCUCGUCUGGUCGAUUGACUCGCGCGCCGGCCGUGUUUGCUGCGCGACCACGGGCCACGAUAAACGUGAUACAGCGAGCUUCGGCGAGAACGAGCACUCCUUGCCCUCUGAGGCGAGAACGUCACCUCGAAACGAGGUUAAUCGCCCGCGAGUGUCAGCAACUCGCGCACGACGUGUCACUCGUUGCUGCACGUCGAGCCGCGAGAGCUGGCCUGUAGCAUAAUAACGUCGGUGUAAUCAGCGUCGUUGUAGUUAGUCGUCCGGUGAACGAUAUUACGGCCGACAGGCGGUAUAAUUAAAACUUUAGAGAGGUCGAGCGCACCUUCGACGAGCGGAACGAGACCCGCGUCUUGUCUUGUUAAGAUAUCGACAGGAAAUUGCGAGGAGACUCCUUGGAGAUCUCCUGAAACCUUAUUGUAGCUCUCUCAGCAGCACGGUAAGAGCUUGAGAGAUUGAGGUCAUCUGAGGACACUCAGGGUUUCGAGAAAGAGAGAGAGAGAGAGAAAGAAUCUCGAAAUCUUUUUUUCAUUAUUUUCCAAAUAUAUUACAGCAGCUUUUUUCUGGAAUUUUAAAUCGAAAAGAAUUUACGGAAAACAAAUUGUUUUCCUUUGUGAGAAAAGUAUUUUUGAGCUCUAUUUUUCUUAUUGGAGUAAACACAAACACGAUGUCCAGCCACACUGGACUUUGAACAGCAAAGGGUUAAAGCCCAAGACGCGUGACCGAUGUCCGUAAACUUGUAACGAGAUAUUAAUCAGGUUAUCGUACCAUGAAAUAUAUUAUUACGUAUUAUUACAUGAUUAUUACACGAAGUUUUCAUUGUGGUAGAAAAUGAACUUUAGUCAAUUACCAGGCGGAGCGCCAGCCAUGUUGUAGGCGUUGUUCCGUCAAAUGCCAGUGCGAAAUUCGUUUUAUCACGGCAUCUGGAAUUUUCUCACCGGAGUAAUAUCGAUAUGCAGUAAUAAUAAUAAUAAUACUUGAAGCUAGCGAGCAGCACGAGGUAAACACACUCUCAUAGGCCGGCUCCCUCGUGUGUAUUCAAAUACAAUCAUCGAUUCGCGCGUUGCCGUUGAAUGAACCUUCUCGGUAAACUCCGUGCCCGCUCUGGAGAGACCGCUGACGCGAUUUUACCUGUCAUCGUCCUCUCUCGCACGCCUCUCUCACCUGGAAAUCCGGCUUAUAGUAACGUGGUGGCAUCUCACUGUCACGGCGUGACGUUCCCGGGACAAUGAACAGACCACGCUGCGAAAGAGAGAGAAAGAGACCGUGUCGUGAGUCGGAGGGCGACGCUGGGAACGCGUCGAUGGGGGGAAAGCCGAGAAAGAGGAACGGCGGCGGGAGGGAGACGCGUUCGGAAUACCGUCGAAGGCUCUCCGUCGUUGCCCAUCCCGGGAUUACGUACCUUGGUCGUAGACCUUACCCGCGAGACGAGCUCGCGUACUCGCGGCUAGUUGCAUAACGCUCGAGGAUUCUCGGUGCGCCGCUCAUUGCCGCGUCGAUUCUCAAUAAUGCGUCGCCGGGUCUCCUUCGGAGAGCUCAUCCCACUUACUUAGUCGCGCGGCGCGCGAAAGGUUACACCGGCUGUGUUAGAUUUACAGUGACGAUACGCGCACCUGUGGUACGGCCGGUCACAAUAACAUCGAUUUAUCUCACGAGAGAAGCUGCGGCAGAUCUCCAGGUGUGUGUGUGUGUGUGUGUGCGUUUAACAAUCACUAAACGCCACACUGUCCGUUGACAUGUUUUGCCGAGCAAAAAACGCGGAUAAGUAUAAUCGACGAUGAAAGUCUAUGUAGCGAGACGGUAGUUUGGAAGUCUUUUCCGGAAAACUGUGACUUUAGAAGAUCUCGGAGAAAAAAUUAAUGUUCCGUGUACAAUCACACUGAGAUGUUGCCCGAUAAGGAAGUAUCCGAUGAGAUAUAAUAUUUUGAUCGGUUUAUUUGAUGAAAUGUCAUGAUUGAAAGUGUCCAAUUUAAUUGGAUAUAAAAAUUGAUCGGAAUUUGAUCGAAAAUAUCCGUUUGUCAAUUUUUUACCGAAUAAUUUCUCUUAGUGCAUAAUUUUUGGACAUGUAGUACAAUCUGGGUUUGUUAGACUCGGGAUACUUCUGAACUACCAUAUAUAAUAUAACUCUGUUGAAAAUCAUAAUUUUUUAUUAAAUUUUUUUCAGAGAAAACAAUAUGGUUGGCCUACACAUAAAUUGUAGUUGUACCAACUAAGCUCAAUAGAAUACCGAGCAACUAGUUACAUGGUUGCUACAAGCGCAGACAAAUUGCUGAGUUACAGUGACGAUAUCUGGUUGCUCCAGCGAGAAUGUAUUCAUGAAAUGUAGAAGAGCUUCAACUAUAAGAUAAGGGAAACGUUCAGUGGUCGGCAUUCAACUUAUUUUCGGCACUUUUGCGCGAAUAUUAUUGAGUAUUAAGAUGGAUUUAAAGGAAAACGAAGUGUGAAGAAUAAAUAUAAUAAUUGAUAAA
Long non-coding RNA from Odontomachus brunneus, 19007 nucleotides. RefSeq lists it as uncharacterized. Lineage: Eukaryota; Metazoa; Arthropoda; Insecta; Hymenoptera; Formicidae. The transcript has 2 exons. The record is from RefSeq and is a predicted model, not a curated record.